GGCCGGGUGGUGUAGUUGGUUAUCACAUUUCGUUUACAUUUAUUCAUAAAUGUUGUCCCGAAAAGGUCCAGGGAUCGAGCCCCUGUCUGGUCA
Molecule: non-coding RNA, 93 nt
Organism: Aspergillus sclerotiicarbonarius CBS 121057
Lineage: Eukaryota; Fungi; Ascomycota; Eurotiomycetes; Eurotiales; Aspergillaceae
Source: the annotation of a GenBank genome assembly